RNAcentral lists this ribosomal RNA (305 nucleotides) under uncultured bacterium. RNAcentral's name for it is "bacterial SSU rRNA". It matches the Rfam family "Bacterial small subunit ribosomal RNA", at positions 333 to 652 of the family's 1533-position model. The record is from RNAcentral.
UAUAUCCUACGGGGGGCAGCAGUGGGGGAUAUUGCACAAUGGGGGAAACCCUGAUGCAGCGACGCCGCGUGAGGGAAGACGGCCUUCGGGUUGUAAACCUCUGUCGCAGGGGACGAAGGAAGUGACGGUACCCUGUGAGGAAGCCACGGCUAACUACGUGCCAGCAGCCGCGGUAAUACGGAGGAUGCGAGCGUUAUCCGGAUUUAUUGGGUUUAAAGGGUGCGUAGGCGGAUUUUUAAGUCAGCGGUGAAAUACCCACGCUCAACAUCGGGGCUGCCGCUAAUACUGUAGGACUAGAGAUCGGA